GCCCUCGUAGCUCAGUGGAUAGAGUACCGGCCUCCGGAGCCGGGAGCCCAGGUUCGAAUCCUGGCGGGGGCG
This 72-nucleotide transfer RNA is filed under the name Caldilineaceae bacterium. Its description in RNAcentral is "tRNA-Arg". It matches the Rfam family "tRNA". Rfam says of the family: Transfer RNA (tRNA) molecules are approximately 80 nucleotides in length. Their secondary structure includes four short double-helical elements and three loops (D, anti-codon, and T loops). The record is from RNAcentral. Lineage: Bacteria; Bacillati; Chloroflexota; Caldilineae; Caldilineales; Caldilineaceae.